UACGUAGGGGGCAAGCGUUGUCCGGAAUUAUUGGGCGUAAAGGGCGCGUAGGCGGAUAGUUAAGUCCGGUGUGAAAGAUCAGGGCUCAACCCUGAGAGUGCAUCGGAAACUGGUUAUCUUGAGGACAGGAGAGGAAAGUGGAAUUCCACGUGUAGCGGUGAAAUGCGUAGAUAUGUGGAGGAACACCAGUGGCGAAGGCGACUUUCUGGGCCACGACUGACGCUGAGGCGCGAAAGCUAGGGGAGCAAACAGG
RNAcentral lists this ribosomal RNA (253 nucleotides) under uncultured bacterium. RNAcentral describes it as "partial 16S ribosomal RNA". It matches the Rfam family "Bacterial small subunit ribosomal RNA", at positions 524 to 776 of the family's 1533-position model. The record is from RNAcentral.